GACGAACGCUGGCGGCGUGCCUAAUACAUGCAAGUCGAGCGAAGUUUUUCUGGUGCUUGCACUAGGAAAACUUAGCGGCGAACGGGUGAGUAACACGUAAAGAACCUGCCUCAUAGACUGGGACAACUAUUGGAAACGAUAGCUAAUACCGGAUAACAGUAUUUCUCGCAUGAGAGAUAUUUAAAAGUUGGUUAUGCUAACACUAUGAGAUGGCUUUGCGGUGCAUUAGCUAGUUGGUGGGGUAAAGGCCCACCAAGGCGACGAUGCAUAGCCGACCUGAGAGGGUGAUCGGCCACACUGGGACUGAGACACGGCCCAGACUCCUACGGGAGGCAGCAGUAGGGAAUCUUCCGCAAUGGGCGAAAGCCUGACGGAGCAACGCCGCGUGAGUGAAGAAGGAUUUCGGUUCGUAAAGCUCUGUUGUUAGGGAAGAAUGGAUAUGUAGUAACUAUACAUGUAAGAGACGGUACCUAACCAGAAAGCCACGGCUAACUACGUG
This 499-nucleotide ribosomal RNA is filed under the name uncultured bacterium. RNAcentral's name for it is "partial 16S ribosomal RNA". It matches the Rfam family "Bacterial small subunit ribosomal RNA", at positions 28 to 507 of the family's 1533-position model. The record is from RNAcentral.